RNAcentral lists this ribosomal RNA (507 nucleotides) under uncultured bacterium. Its description in RNAcentral is "partial 16S ribosomal RNA". It matches the Rfam family "Bacterial small subunit ribosomal RNA", at positions 28 to 507 of the family's 1533-position model. The record is from RNAcentral.
GACGAACGCUGGCGGCGUGCCUAAUACAUGCAAGUCGAACGCAUUUUCUUUCACCGUAGCUUGCUACACCGAAAGAAAAUGAGUGGCGAACGGGUGAGUAACACGUGGGUAACCUGCCCAUCAGCGGGGGAUAACACUUGGAAACAGGUGCUAAUACCGCAUAAUUCCAUUUACCGCAUGGUAGAUGGAUGAAAGGCGCUUUUGCGUCACUGAUGGAUGGACCCGCGGUGCAUUAGCUAGUUGGUGGGGUAACGGCCUACCAAGGCUGCGAUGCAUAGCCGACCUGAGAGGGUGAUCGGCCACACUGGGACUGAGACACGGCCCAGACUCCUACGGGAGGCAGCAGUAGGGAAUCUUCGGCAAUGGACACAAGUCUGACCGAGCAACGCCGCGUGAGUGAAGAAUGUUUUCGGAUCGUAAAACUCUGUUGUUAGAGAAGAACAAGGAUGAGAGUGGAAAGUUCAUCCCUUGACGGUAUCUAACCAGAAAGCCACGGCUAACUACGUG